UACGUAGGGUGCAAACGUUGCUCGGAAUCAUUGGGCGUAAAGCGCACGUAGGCGGCCUUGCAAGUCGGAUGUGAAAUCCCACGGCUCAACCGUGGACGUGCAUCCGAAACUGCUCGGCUCGAGUAUGGAAGAGGGUCGCGGAAUUCCCGGUGUAGAGGUGAAAUUCGUAGAUAUCGGGAGGAACACCAGUGGCGAAGGCGGCGACCUGGGCCAAUACUGACGCUGAGGUGCGAAAGCGUGGGGAGCAAACAGG
This 253-nucleotide ribosomal RNA is filed under the name uncultured bacterium. Its description in RNAcentral is "partial 16S ribosomal RNA". It matches the Rfam family "Bacterial small subunit ribosomal RNA", at positions 524 to 776 of the family's 1533-position model. The record is from RNAcentral.